Molecule: ribosomal RNA, 839 nt
Filed under: uncultured euryarchaeote
Lineage: Archaea; Methanobacteriati; Methanobacteriota
Description: bacterial SSU rRNA
Rfam family: Archaeal small subunit ribosomal RNA
Source: RNAcentral
AGGUUACUGCUAUCGAGGUUCGACUAAGCCAUGCGAGUCGAAUGUAGCAAUACAUGGCGUACUGCUCAGUAACACGUGGACAACCUACCCUUGGGACGGGGAUAAACCCGGGAAACUGGGUAUAAUACCCGAUAGAUCUCGAAAGCUGGAAUGCAUCGAGGUCGAAAGCUCCGGUGCCCAAGGAUGGGUCUGCGGCCUAUCAGGUUGUAGUGGGUGUAGCGUACCUACUAGCCUACGACGGGUACGGGUUGUGAGAGCAAGAGCCCGGAGAUGGAUUCUGAGACACGAAUCCAGGCCCUACGGGGUGCAGCAGGCGCGAAAACUUUACAAUGCCGGCAACGGCGAUAAGGGAACCUCGAGUGCCAGGUUACAAAUCUGGCUGUCGUGAUGCCUAAAAAGCAUUGCAUAGCAAGGGCCGGGCAAGACCGGUGCCAGCCGCCGCGGUAACACCGGCGGCUCGAGUGGUAACCGUUAUUAUUGGGUCUAAAGGGUCUGUAGCCGGCCGGGUAAGUCUCUUGGGAAAUCUGGCAGCUUAACUGUCAGGCUUUCAGGAGAUACUGCCUGGCUCGAGGCCGGGAGAGGUGAGAGGUACUUCAGGGGUAGGGGUGAAAUCUUGUAAUCCUUGAAGGACCACCAGUGGCGAAGGCGUCUCACCAGAACGGACCUGACGGCAAGGGACGAAAGCUAGGGGCACGAACCGGAUUAGAUACCCGGGUAGUCCUAGCCGUAAACGAUACUCGCUAGGUGUCGGCCACGGUGCGACCGUGGUCGGUGCCGUAGGGAAGCCGUGAAGCGAGCCACCUGGGAAGUACGGCCGCAAGGCUGAAACUUAAAGGAAU